UACGUAGGCAGCAAGCGUUGUUCGGAGUUACUGGGCGUAAAGGGAGCGUAGGUGGCCUUAUAAGUCAGCGGUGAAAUCUCUGGGCUUAACCCAGAAAUUGCCAUUGAUACUGUAGGGCUUGAGUACAGUUGCUGUGGGCGGAAUAUGACAUGUAGUGGUGAAAUACAUAGAGAUGUCAUAGAACACCGAUUGCGAAGGCAGCUCACAAAACUGUAACUGACACUGAGGCUCGAAAGUGCGGGGAUCAAACAGG
Molecule: ribosomal RNA, 253 nt
Filed under: uncultured bacterium
Lineage: Bacteria
Description: partial 16S ribosomal RNA
Rfam family: Bacterial small subunit ribosomal RNA
Source: RNAcentral